UACGUAGGGUGCAAGCGUUGUCCGGAAUUAUUGGGCGUAAAGAGCUCGUAGGCGGUCUGUCGCGUCGAAUGUGAAAACCCGGGGCUCAACCCCGGGCCUGCAUUCGAUACGGGCAGACUAGAGUUCGGUAGGGGAGUCUGGAAUUCCUGGUGUAGCGGUGAAAUGCGCAGAUAUCAGGAGGAACACCGGUGGCGAAGGCGGGUCUCUGGGCAACAACUGACGCUGAGGAGCGAAAGCGUGGGGAGCGAGCAGG
RNAcentral lists this ribosomal RNA (253 nucleotides) under uncultured bacterium. RNAcentral describes it as "partial 16S ribosomal RNA". It matches the Rfam family "Bacterial small subunit ribosomal RNA", at positions 524 to 776 of the family's 1533-position model. The record is from RNAcentral.